This 253-nucleotide ribosomal RNA is filed under the name uncultured bacterium. RNAcentral describes it as "partial 16S ribosomal RNA". It matches the Rfam family "Bacterial small subunit ribosomal RNA", at positions 524 to 776 of the family's 1533-position model. The record is from RNAcentral.
UACGGAGGGGGCAAGCGUUAUCCGGAAUCACUGGGUUUAAAGCGUGCGUAGGCGGCUAGAUAAGUCAGAGGUGAAAGCUUGUCGCUUAACGAUAGAACUGCCUUUGAUACUGUUAAGCUUGAAAGUAGGUGAGGUUGGCGGAAUGCGACAUGUAGCGGUGAAAUGCAUAGAUAUGUCGUAGAACACCGAUUGCGAAGGCAGCCGGCUGACCUGACUUUGACGCUGAGGUGCGAAAGCGUGGGUAGCGAACAGG